AGCGGAACGAGCCGGAACGCCCGCGCCAGCGGCUGCGUUUCCGGUCGGACGCCUUUGCCCAGCGCCCCGCGUCCCUAGGGGGCGGCGGCGGCCGCGUCGGCCGAGGUAGCGGGGGGAUCCGGAAGUCAACACCAUGUCGAGUCUGCACAAGAGCCGGAUUGCAGAUUUCCAGGAUGUCCUGAAGGAGCCCACGAUUGCCUUGGAAAAGCUUCGGGAUCUCAGUUUCAGUGGCAUCCCCUGUGAGGGCGGACUGCGGUGCCUCUGCUGGAAGAUUCUCUUGAACUACCUCCCCUUGGAGAGAGCCUCAUGGAGCUCCAUCCUGGCCAAGCAGAGGGAGCUAUAUUCUCAGUUCCUGAGGGAAAUGAUCAUCCAGCCCGGCAUUGCCAAGGCCAACAUGGGUGCGUCCAGGGAGGAUGUGACCUUUGAGGACCAUCCACUCAACCCCAACCCUGACAGCCGGUGGAACACGUACUUCAAGGACAACGAGGUGCUGCUGCAGAUUGACAAGGAUGUCCGGAGGUUGUGCCCAGACAUAUCCUUCUUUCAGAGGGCCACCGAGUAUCCCUGCCUCCUCAUCCUGGACCCCCAGAAUGAGUUUGAGACCCUUCGUAAGCGGGUGGAACAGACAACGCUGAAAUCCCAGACAGUGGCCCGGAACCGGAGUGGGGUCACAAACAUGAGCUCCCCACACAAGAACUCUACGCCUUCGGCCCUCAAUGAGUACGAGGUGCUGCCCAACGGCUGCGAGGCCCACUGGGAGGUGGUGGAGCGGAUCUUGUUCAUCUACGCCAAGCUCAACCCUGGCAUUGCUUACGUGCAGGGCAUGAAUGAAAUCGUGGGGCCCCUCUACUAUACCUUUGCCACUGACCCCAACAGCGAGUGGAAAGAGCACGCUGAGGCAGACACCUUUUUCUGCUUUACCAACCUCAUGGCUGAGAUCCGGGACAACUUCAUCAAGAGCCUGGAUGACUCACAAUGUGGCAUCACCUACAAGAUGGAAAAGGUCUACUCCACCUUGAAGGAUAAGGAUGUGGAACUCUACCUGAAACUGGCUGCAUGGUGUUACAUGGCAACCAACCGACACGGAUUCUUGUUCCCUGCUCCUCGCCUCUGUCUCCCCAGCAAGAGCAGAACAUCAAGCCGCAGUUCUUCGCCUUCCGCUGGCUGACGCUGCUGCUCUCCCAGGAGUUCUUGCUGCCUGACGUCAUCCGGAUCUGGGACUCCCUCUUUGCCGAUGACAGCCGCUUUGACUUCCUCCUCCUCGUGUGCUGUGCCAUGCUCAUACUGAUCCGGGACCAGUUGCUGGAAGGGGACUUUACAGUGAACAUGCGGCUCCUGCAGGAUUACCCCAUCACAGAUGUCUGCCAGAUCCUACAGAAAGCCAAGGAACUCCAAGACUCAAAGUAGCCUGGCAGCAAGCGGCCUGGGUUUGGAAGAGAAGCCGCCGACCCCUGUGCCCUGGCUUCUGGGACACGCAGAUGCCUGUGGGAUCCCAGCCUGAGAGGAAGCUGCAGGAGUGGCCUACUCCAGGCCUCCCCACUCUAUGCCGUUCCCACCGGGGCACACUGUGCCAUGCUCCUUCUGACCACCGAGCCCUGGCUCCCUCCUCACCCUGCCACCCUGGGACCCUUUGCCCAGGCCGCCAAGCAAGGCUGGAGCUUGUGAAGUUGUUUCCUGGGGCUGGGGCAGAUUGGGGGCACUGGGGGCUGACAAGGGUCCCUCCCUGCCUCUGCUCUGCUGCUCCCUUCCUCCUCUCCUCUCUGGUCUUCUUCUGGGCUCUCUCGGGUUUCUGGCAAAUGAGCCAGAAACCACUUCUGGGGGCUGGUGCUUAGGCUUCUCCAUGGGGAAGGUGACACUGAAGGAGCUAAGAAGCUGCCUGGCCCAGGUCACACCCUCUGUCCCCCUCCCACUGUCUGUCUAUAGUCAUGAGUUGGUGUGUGUGUGUCUGUUCAUCCCCAGGUAUCUGCUUCUGUGUGUGUGUGUGUGUAUGAGGGAGGGGAGGUACCUUGCAUCCCUCUAGGUCUCUGCUUCUCCUCCUCUGUCUCUCUCCCUCUCUCUGCCUGUCUCCCUCUCUUCUCCCUCCGCCUCUUUCACAGAGGGUGUAUGUGACUCUCGCUCUGUCUGCUCCUCUCUCCAUUGCUCUCCCUCUGCCCCUCUCUCUUGGGGUGCCUUAUCCCCAGCCUCUUCCUCUCCCUCCUCCCUUCCACUCCUGUGAACCCUGGAGACAGAAUGAGGAGUCUGGCUCAGCAAAGCCCCUGGAGGUCAACCUUGGCCUUUGCACCCCGUUCCCCUCCGCCAGUCCUAGGCGCCCAGGUCCCCCAGACUGGGAGGGCGUCCACAGUGCCUCACUGGAGCGCCCUGAAUCUGCUCCCCAUGACAUAUCUGGAAACCAAAAGCUGCCAGGAAAUGAUGGCCCGUGAAGCGUUGAGCCUCUUCCCCUCCUCUCUGCCCAGGGAUGGGGGAGGGAGAAGAGGGGGAGCUGGGGCUCCCAGAGAGUCCCCAAAAGGCCCUUCUCUCCCAAAGGAAAAGGACAUGAAGGUGAUUGUGUUUCAGGGGUUGGGAAGAGUAGUGAUUCUCAUGGCUUCCAGGUCUCAGCCCAGGGUGGUGAGUCCCAUAAAGGGCAAGUGGGACCCAAGGGAGCCUCCCUGCACUGGGCGUAGCUGAGCUCAAAGGCCCUGGAUCCUGGCAGUGCCAGGAGAGCCGCAUCUUCCCCCAAGCAGGCUGCAGGGGAUGCUGGCCUGUCUCUGGUCACCUGCUUGGGCUGUCCCAGGAUUUAGGGCAAAUGUCCUCUGAGCAGGAGCAGCUGGCUACUCCCGCUGCUGGGCUGUUGGAGUAGUGGCCGUAUUCUGACCAAGUCCCCUCCUUCUGUGAGGAGGCUGGUGGUUUGGGUCUGGAAGGCUGGGUAACGUAGCAAGGGUCCUAAACCUCUCCUCAGACUGGCCAGCAGGGCCCUCUUCCCCCAAAGCCUUCCUGAGUCUGGCAGCCAGGACUUCCUGCUGCCCACGCUGGCCAGGCUGUGGGCCUGGAACAGCUCUCAGGUGGCUCCUUUGCCAGGCUGUGCCCUGGGUGCUUCGGGGACUUCAUGCACUUGCCUUUUUGCCUCCUUUCCCAACACACGGUAUUUGGGAGAUUUUUACUAUUUAUUUAGACUCCUGGUUAUUUAUUGCAGAUUGGCAAGUGCUGGGCUUGGGGAUAAAGGGUGGGGCUGGGAAGGCAGAAAGGAGUUGGAGACGCGGUCUGACCUCCCUUCCAAGGUCAGAGUCGGCAUCCCGCCCCCUGCCUCUGGGACCUUCCUGGUUUUCCAGCAGGUCCUGUCCACGAAGGCUCUGAGCUUUCUACUGGCGCUAAGUGUGAGGGAGACAGGAGAGCUGGUAUCCUUACCAGGCUUCAAGAGCCAGGCACGAGGCAGAGACACGCCUUCCCACCGGCCGGGCUCACCCUCUUCCCAGAACUUGUUCGCUCCCAACUUUGACCCCUUCACAGCCUGAGGCUCGGGCCACAGCCUGGGACCCAGCAGACACUGCCCAGGACACCUGAUGCAUUCCCUCUCGCCUGACCCCUGCCUUCCCUCCUGGGGCCACACUACUUGAAUCACUGCGUCUAAUUUGCCUCAGUCAGACCUGGGCCCGGUGCCUUCUUGACCUUGGGUUGAAGGUCAGGAGCACAGGGACGUGUCCAGGUUAGGCUGAGCUCCCCACUGGGAUCCUGCCUGAGGAAAGCACCUGCCCUAGGUGAUCCCCCUCCCCAGACUCUCCAGGGAGGUCCCCAGAGAGCCAGAGUGCCUGAGGCUUCCUGCUUGGAGAGCUGCCCCCAGGACUUUGGACCCUUACAGAUGGGGCUGGCUGAAUUCAGCAGUCUCACUCCAGAGGGUCGGAACGUUAGUCUGCUUCUGUUCGUUCAUCAGUUUCGUUCUUAAAUCAGUGCUGUUGAUGACAAGUUGUCUUUAAUAAAUCAUGUGUUCUUUGCAAUGGG
This is an RNA transcript of Equus caballus (horse), 3972 nucleotides long. It is a transcript of the gene named TBC1 domain family member 13, with no coding region annotated. The record is from RefSeq and is a predicted model, not a curated record. Lineage: Eukaryota; Metazoa; Chordata; Mammalia; Perissodactyla; Equidae.